This 253-nucleotide ribosomal RNA is filed under the name uncultured Eubacteriales bacterium. RNAcentral's name for it is "uncultured Clostridiales bacterium partial 16S ribosomal RNA". It matches the Rfam family "Bacterial small subunit ribosomal RNA", at positions 524 to 776 of the family's 1533-position model. Lineage: Bacteria; Bacillati; Bacillota; Clostridia; Eubacteriales. The record is from RNAcentral.
UACGUAGGGGGCAAGCGUUAUCCGGAAUUACUGGGUGUAAAGGGAGCGUAGACGGUGAUGUAAGUCUGGAGUGAAAGGCGGGGGCCCAACCCCCGGACUGCUCUGGAAACUAUGUGACUGGAGUGCAGGAGAGGUGAGCAGAAUUCCUAGUGUAGCGGUGAAAUGCGUAGAUAUUAGGAGGAACACCAGUGGCGAAGGCGGCUUACUGGACUGUAAAUGACGCUGAAGCACGAAAGCGUGGGUAUCGAACAGG